UACGUAGGGUCCAAGCGUUAUCCGGAAUCACUGGGCGUAAAGCGUGCGUAGGUGGAUGCUUGCGUGAGAUGUUAAAGCGUGUGGCUCAACCAUAUCGAUGCAUCUCAUACGGGGCGUCUAGAGGACGGCAGAGGCAAGUGGAAUUGGCAGUGUAGCAGUGAAAUGCGUAGAUAUUGCCAGGAACACCAAUGGCGAAGGCAGCUUGCUGGGCCACUCCUGACACUGAGGUACGAAAGCGUGGGGAGCGAACAGG
RNAcentral lists this ribosomal RNA (253 nucleotides) under uncultured bacterium. RNAcentral's name for it is "partial 16S ribosomal RNA". It matches the Rfam family "Bacterial small subunit ribosomal RNA", at positions 524 to 776 of the family's 1533-position model. The record is from RNAcentral.